Long non-coding RNA from Bubalus bubalis (water buffalo), 2140 nucleotides. RefSeq lists it as uncharacterized. The transcript has 3 exons. The record is from RefSeq and is a predicted model, not a curated record. NCBI's taxonomy places the organism in Eukaryota, Metazoa, Chordata, Mammalia, Artiodactyla, Bovidae.
GCGGCGCUUGUUUAAUCAGUGUUGGUGAAGUGGGCUGAAAUGAAUUAACUGCAUUCCAGGACCUUCAAAGCUGCCCCAGGCCCGGGUCUCUGGCUGAGAGAAGAGCCAAGCAGAGGUGUCGAUUGCGCCCCAGGCUUGCUGGAGCUGGAAUUCCACUGCCCAGAAUCCCCCGUGGAACACAGAGUCCCGCAGGGGGUCGUGCCCAAGGCCAGGCUCCCAGAGUGUUAGUGAUGGCAAGAGGUGUCAGAGAUCUUUUGCCCCUUUCGGUCCUGUUAGAGAAACUGAGGCUGGUGGCAGGGAAAGUGGCUUGCUCUAACCUAGUACUUCUCAGAUGGCAACACGGGAACCUGCUGGGGAUCUUAUUAAGAUGCAGAUUGAGUCAGAAGCUCGGGGCAGGUGUGGGAUUCAGCCUUUCUAACAAGGCGGUUCUGUAGAGCCCACUGUAGGCGACAGGCCCUAGGCCUCUGUGUCCCCGUGUGUAGGACGGAAGACCAGGGUGCGCUGGUGUGUGGGUCCCUGCCAGCCCCAGCGUGCCAUGAUUUUGGUCCUGGUAACAGCUGCUUGGCCUCGGUUGACUUCAGAAGGUGUUGCUGUGACUCUGGACCAUCUCUUCCACAUCAAGCCCCCUGCCAGGCUCUCUAGAGACCGUCUUUAAGGACAAAGGCAAACUGAUGAGAAGUCAGGAGCAAUCAUAGGGUCUUUGUUGCUGUGAGUCGGCUUUCUCGAGCUGCAGUGAGCACGGGCUACUCGUCGUUGUGGGGCUCAGGCUUCUCAUCGCGGUGGCUUCUUUUGUUGCAGAGCUGGAGCUCUAGAGCACAGUCUCGAUAGUUGAGGCACGCGCUUAGUUGCCCCGCGGCAUGUGGAAUCUUCCUGGACCAGAGACAGAAUUCAUGUCUCCUGCACUGGCGGGCAGAUUCUUAACCACUGAACCACCAGGGAAGUCCCACCUCCAGUUUAUUUAUUUAUUAAUAACAAACACUACUAAGUCCAGUACUGUAUUAACUUGCUAAUCCUCAUGGCAACUUCUUGAAAACAUUCUACUUAUGGUAAUCAUUCUCACUUUACAAAUGGGGAAACGGAGGCACAAGGAGGUGAAGCAACUUGUUCAGAAUCAGAAGCAAAAGGCCAGGGUGCGGCCCCAGCUGUCUGGUGCCUUAUCCACCAUGCUGUGCAGGCUCCAUGAUCCUCCACCAGGCCGUGGUCCCUCUGAGCACUCAGUUGCUACUAACAUCUUCCCCAUCUCGUGGACAGUAGUAGGGACUCAUGGAUAGCUGCUGACUGGUUGCCUGAGUGUGAAGUGGAGGCCCCCCACGAUGGAGACUGCACCCUUCCCUCCAGGACACCUGCCUGGCUGCAAGGCUGUUGUAAAUACUUGUUUCAGGAAGACAUUGACUGGCCCCUUCAUGGACUGCAAUCUUCUCCUGGCAAAGGGGCUUGAGUUACUUGGAGAAGCUAUGAGCCAUGCCAUGCAGGGCCACCCAAGACGAACGGGUCACUGUGAAGAGUUCUGACAAAACGUGGUCCACUGGAGGAGAGAAUGGCAAACCACUGUAGUAUUCUUGCUGCAAGAAUCCCAUAACAGUAUGAAAAGGCAAAAAGUCAUGACAACAGAAGAUGCACCCCCCCUCCUCCCAGGUUGGAAUGUGUCCAAUAUGCUACUGGGGAAGAGCAGAGGGCAAUUACUAAUAGCUCCAGAAAGAAUGAUGUGGCUGGGGCAAAGCAGAAAUGACACUCAUUUGUAGAUGUGUCUGGUGGUGAAAGUAAGGUCCGUUGCCAUAAAGAACAAUAUUGCAUAGGAGCCUGGAAAGUUCAAGGUCCAUGAACUUGAGCAGUAUGUGAACCAAGAACUUUCAGAUAUACAAACUGGGUUUAGAACAGGCAGAGGAACCAGAGAUCAAAUUGCCAACAUCCAUUGGAUCAUAGAAAAAGCAAGAGAGUUUCAGUAAAACUUCUGCUUCAUUGACUAUGUUAAAGCCUUUGACUGUGCACAUCAAACGGGAAGAUUCUUAAAGACAGGGAACACCAGACCACCUUACCUGUUUCCCGAGAAACCUAUAUGUGGGUCAAGAAGCAACAGUUAGAAUGGGACAAGGGACAAUGAACUGGUUACAAAUUGGGAAAGGAAUACCAUAAGGCUGUA